Molecule: ribosomal RNA, 416 nt
Filed under: uncultured eukaryote
Lineage: Eukaryota
Description: bacterial SSU rRNA
Rfam family: Eukaryotic small subunit ribosomal RNA
Source: RNAcentral
CAAUAGCGUAUAUUAAAACUGUUGCGGUUAAAACGCUCGUAGUUGCACAUCUGUGGGAGAGGACUGGUCGACCCUAGCGGUACGUACUUUGUGCAUCUCUGACAUCUACCUGGAGAGAGCAGGUUCGCUUUGUUGCGUGCGUGCCCAACCCGGAUCUUUUACUUUGAGGAAAUGAGAGUGUUUCAAGCAGGCCGUUGCCAUGAAUACGUUAGCAUGGAAUAAUGACAUAGGACCUUGUGUCGUUGUUGUUGGUCGACGACACGGGGUAAUAAAAAUAGGGAUAGUUGGGGGCGAUUCGUAUUACAAUGUCAGAGGUGAAAUUCUUGGAUUAUUGUACGACGAACUACUGCGAAAGCAUUUGCCAAGGAUGUUUUUUAAAUCAAGAACGAAAGUUAGGGGAUCGAAGACGAUUAGAU